AGAGCGCAAGGGGAAUGCCUUGGCAUCAGGAGCCGACGAAGGACGCGACAAGCUGCGAUAAGCUUCGGGUAGCUGCAAAUAAGCGAUGAUCCGGAGAUUUCCGAAUGGGGCAACCCGGCACGGCAAUACCGUGUCAGCGUGCACUGAACAAAAUAGGUGUACGCGGGGAACCGCCUGAACUGAAACAUCUAAGUAGGGCGAGGAAAAGACAUCAACCGAGAUUCCGUAAGUAGUGGCGAGCGAACGCGGAAGAGGCCAAACCAGAAGACAUUGUUUUCUGGGGUUCGGACCAGCAUCGUGAUCAGAGAGAUCUAGUCGAAUGGCGUGGGAAAGCCAAUCAUAGAGGGUGAGAAUCCCGUAGACGAAAGAGAAGACUGACAGCUGGUAUCCAGAGUACCGCCGGACACGUGAAACCCGGUGGGAAGACGGGUGGACCACCAUCCAAGCCUAAAUACUACCUGAUGACCGAUAGAGAAGCAGUACCGUGAGGGAAAGGUGAAAAGCACCCCGGGAGGGGAGUGAAAGAGUACCUGAAACCUUGUGCUUACAAGCAGUCAGAGCACGUUAAAGUGUGAUGGCGUACCUUUUGUAGAAUGGUCCGGCGAGUUAUAGUCACUGGCAAGGUUAAGCGAUUCAGUCGCGGAGCCGAAGGGAAACCGAGUGUUAAUAGCGCGAGUAAAGUCAGUGGCCAUAGACCUGAAACCGGGUGACCUAUCCAUGAGCAGGCUGAAGUUGCGGUAAAACGCAAUGGAGGGCCGAACCCACGUACGUUGCAAUGUCCGGGGAUGACUUGUGGAUAGCGGAGAAAUUCCAAUCGAACUCGGAGAUAGCUGGUUCUCCCCGAAAUAGCUUUAGGGCUAGCGUUAUGUUAGAUUACCGGAGGUAAAGCACUGAAUGGUGGCGGGGCCGAUAAGGUUACCAAGACCUAUCAAACUCUGAAUGCCGGAUAAUUGAUGCAUAGCAGUCAGACAGCGUGAGAUAAGUUUCGUUGUCAAAAGGGAAACAGCCCAGACCCACAGCUAAGGUCCCAAAUUCAUGCUAAGUGGAAAACGAUGUGGAAUUGCGAAAACAACCAGGAUGUUGGCUUAGAAGCAGCCACUCAUUAAAAGAGUGCGUAAUAGCUCACUGGUCGAGUGACUCUGCGCCGAAAAUUUAACGGGGCUAAACUAUACACCGAAGCUUGGGAUACAUCUAAUGUAUGGUAGGAGAGCGUUCUGUAUGGGGCGAAGUCGUAGCGAAAGCGGCGGUGGACUAUACAGAAGUGAGAAUGCCGGAAUAAGUAGCGAGAAUUAAGUGAGAAUCUUAAUGGCCGAAAGUCUAAGGUUUUUGGAGGAAGGUUCGUCCGCUCCAAGUAAGUCGGGAGCUAAGGUCAGGCCGAAAGGCGUAGCCGAUGCACAUACGGUUGAUAUUCCGUAACCAUCUGUAAUUUAAGCAAAGGGACACUUCAAAAGGGUGUGACCCGGGCGUUGGUUGACCCGGGCGUAAGGGACCGAAAUUAGAGUAGGGAAGCACACUUGGCUGAAGGCGAGAAAAGCUUUGCGUAUAGAAGCAGAUGCCCGUACCGCAAACCGACACAGGUGGACAGGAAGAGAAUUCUAAGGCCAGCGGGAGAAGGGUAGUUAAGGAACUCGGCAAAUUGACUCCGUAACUUCGGAAUAAGGAGUGCUCGAAAGAGCCGCAGAGAAUAGGCCCAGGCGACUGUUUAGCAAAAACACAGGUCUCUGCCAAAUCGAAAGAUGAAGUAUAGGGGCUGACACCUGCCCGGUGCCGGAAGGUUAAGAGGAGGAGUGAGAGCUCCGAAUUGAAGCCCCGGUAAACGGCGGCCGUAACUAUAACGGUCCUAAGGUAGCGAAAUUCCUUGUCGGGUAAGUUCCGACCCGCACGAAUGGCGUAACGACUUGUGAGCUGUCUCAACAGGAGGCCCGGUGAAAUUGAAGUAUGUGUGAAGAUGCACAUUACCCGCGACUGGACGGAAAGACCCCGUAGAGCUUUACUGUAACCUGACAUUGGAUCUUGAUAACGGAUGCACAGGAUAGGUGGGACGCUGGGAGACGAGGACUUUGGUUUUCGUGGAGCGGCCGUUGGGAUACCACUCUUCUGUUAUUGAGAUUCUAACCUCAAGCCGUGAGCCGGAUGAGAGACAGUGUCAGGCGGACAGUUUGACUGGGGCGGUCGCCUCCGAAAGAGUAACGGAGGCGCCCAAAGGUACCCUCAGAAUGGAUGGAAACCAUUCGAAGAGAGCAAAGUCAGAAGGGUGCUUGACUGCGAGACCAACAAGUCGAGCAGGUACGAAAGUAGGGCUUAGUGAUCCGGCGGUAAGAGAGUGGAAUUGCCGUCGCUCAACGGAUAAAAGCUACCUCGGGGAUAACAGGCUGAUCUCCCCCAAGAGUUCACAUCGACGGGGAGGUUUGGCA
RNAcentral lists this ribosomal RNA (2414 nucleotides) under human gut metagenome. RNAcentral describes it as "bacterial LSU rRNA". It matches the Rfam family "Bacterial large subunit ribosomal RNA", at positions 14 to 2523 of the family's 2925-position model. The record is from RNAcentral.